GGAAGUAAAAGUCGUAACAAGGUUUCCGUAGGUGAACCUGCGGAAGGAUCAUUACCGAGUUAGGGUCUUCCAUGGCCCAACCUCCAACCCCUUGUAUACUACCAAGUGUUUUAUUGUUGCUUCGGUGGGCCAAGUGCCCACCGAAGCCCAACAAAAUCUCAGUAAUGAUGUUGUCUGAGUCAUUUAAGUAAUAAUCAAAACUUUCAACAACGGAUCUCUUGGUUCCCGCAUCGAUGAAGAACGCAGCGAAAUGCGAUAAGUAAUGUGAAUUGCAGAAUUCAGUGAAUCAUCGAAUCUUUGAACGCACAUUGCGCCCCUUGGCAUUCCGAAGGGCAUGCCUGUUCGAGCGUCAUGAUCAAAUCUCAAGCCUUGCUUGGUAUUGGGCUUUCGCCUUCCCUAUCUUGUUUACAGUUAGUGGCGUGCCUGAAAGUCAAUGGCAGUGUCCUCAAUAGACUCAAGCGUAGCAGACUGACUCGCUUUUGAGAACUUUUGUAGGUCCUGUCAACAAAAUAAUCAAGUUGGACCUCGGAUCAGGUAGGGAUACCCGCUGAACUUAAGCAUAUCAAUAAGCGGAGGA
This 577-nucleotide ribosomal RNA is filed under the name uncultured Geoglossum. RNAcentral's name for it is "eukaryotic LSU rRNA". The stretch from base 199 to 352 matches the Rfam family "5.8S ribosomal RNA". Lineage: Eukaryota; Fungi; Ascomycota; Geoglossomycetes; Geoglossales; Geoglossaceae. The record is from RNAcentral.